Molecule: long non-coding RNA, 1094 nt
Filed under: Oryzias sinensis (Chinese medaka)
Lineage: Eukaryota; Metazoa; Chordata; Actinopteri; Beloniformes; Adrianichthyidae
Description: lncRNA (ENSOSIG00000012997.1)
Source: RNAcentral
UAGGUGGCAGAGCAGCCACUCAUUUCAUUCGAAAAAUACCUGAUUGAAUCUUUUGAUUAUAAAAUCCAAUUUAGGUUUAGAUUUUAAUCAUCUUUAAGCCUAAUUUUUUUUAUCUAAUUUUUUAAAUUUUAGGUCUUUUUUUUUUACAGCUGUACUGGGAAAAAAAGUUUAUUUUCUUUUGAUCUGAGCUCUCACUGGUCACACCUUACAGGUGCAACCAAUCCCAGACAAUUAUAGUGUAGAAAUCGUCGCAGCUUGUGAUUGGCCGAUGACAUUUAAGCUGUUCCUAUAUCCGGAAAGCGGCGUAGAUCAAAGGACGUACAUAAAGCAUCGCUGCGCAUGUGCUGCGGUUUCCAGGGGUUGCGCACAAAUAAACGAUGCGUAGAAUUAAAACGGCAGGUUCCGCUGUGUGCGUGGCUGCAGCUCUUCUCCUGAUAUCCUGUUUGCUCCAAACGGCAGAGUGUCUUCGCUUGAGGAAAACGGAGAGACGAGCAGCGCAGCGGGAGCCCGCGCCCCGCACCGAUGCGGGCGUUCAGGAGGGGCAAAUCAUCUUUGGGGAAAUUUCCGAGAAGGUCACAGAUAAUAAAAGCAAGAAAACUUCUAACGCUUCUGCAGACGAUGAAUCGGCUUACCAAGCAGAUUUUCCAGGGUGGUAUAAGGUAAAUAUGGAGGAUCCUGCAUCCAAAGACAAGUGGAAGCAAAUGGCAACAUCCCUGUAUUGUUUUGGGGAUCACAUGAAGUUCAGGUCACUUGGUCCAGGUGCUUCACAGUUUGAAGUCGAGCAAGGUAAAGAAGGAUUCUCAAAGAUUGAUGCAUUGGUAAUAAAGUUUCCCUUAUGAUGGGGUUUUCAUCUUCUAUAGCAAACAAACAGUCCCUACCUCUGUCCAUGGUACCCCAAAAAUGUGGCUACAACAUGCUUGGAAACUCCCUGGCAUUUGUUCUGACUGUUCCUUACAGUGGCUGCCACAUGCGUCAUCAGGUAAGUUUUCUUGAGUAGGCCUAAUUAAAAUUGUUUUUUGUUUUUGUUUGGUUUUUUACAUUUCGAGCUUAAUUUUGAUUUCUUUAUUCAAAUGUUGUGGUCAAACAGUGAUGUA